UAGUCGCCUAUAUGAGAGCACCUCUCUUGCC
Molecule: non-coding RNA, 31 nt
Filed under: Mus musculus (house mouse)
Lineage: Eukaryota; Metazoa; Chordata; Mammalia; Rodentia; Muridae
Source: RNAcentral